AGCGAACGCUGGCGGCAGGCUUAACACAUGCAAGUCGAGCGGGCAUCCUUGUGGUGUCAGCGGCAGACGGGUGAGUAACGCGUGGGAACGUGCCCUUCGGUUCGGAAUAACUCAGGGAAACUUGAGCUAAUACCGGAUACGUGCGAGAGCAGAAAGGUUUAUCUGCCGAAGGAUCGGCCCGCGUCUGAUUAGCUAGUUGGUGAGGUUAUGGCUCACCAAGGCGACGAUCAGUAGCUGGUCUGAGAGGAUGAUCAGCCACGCUGGGGCUGAGACACGGCCCAGACUCCUACGGGAGGCAGCAGUGGGGAAUAUUGGACAAUGGGGGCAACCCUGAUCCAGCCAUGCCGCGUGAGUGAUGACGGCCUUAGGGUUGUAAAGCUCUUUUCUCCGGGACGAUAAUGACGGUACCGGAGGAAUAAGCCCCGGCUAACUUCGU
This 436-nucleotide ribosomal RNA is filed under the name uncultured bacterium. Its description in RNAcentral is "partial 16S ribosomal RNA". It matches the Rfam family "Bacterial small subunit ribosomal RNA", at positions 29 to 506 of the family's 1533-position model. The record is from RNAcentral.